UGGAUAUUAUUUUAUCAUUUAUUAAAUAAAACUUUUUAAUAAAAAAUAUAUUAAACAUUUAAUAUCUUCUCUUAAAACACAAUAAGAAAAUAAAAUAUAUUUGAAAAUUAGAAAAACAUUUCAGAUUCAAUUUCUUGUUUCCAGAUUUCUUCUUCCCCCAAACUUCAGGAAUCACCACGUUUUCUCCAAACGAACGAAGAACCCUAAUUUUGUAUUCCCCCAAUUUCAUCUUUCCCCAAUUUCACGAUGAAACCAUUUCGCUAGCAAUUCAACUCAACAUUUUGGUGCUACAAUUGCAAUUCAACUCAACGUUUCGAUGCUACAAUCUCAAUUCAUCUCAGCAUCGCAAAUUCAAAUCAGCAUCGCAACUCAACGUUUCGUAUUCUCAUAAUCGUUGCCUCUUCUGCUGGAUAUUCUCUCUGUAGCUUUUCAAGAUUUCUCUUCGGCGACUGUUGAAUAUUUUUUGCGUUUUCUACUUCAAAGGUGGAAUCAAGGUUUUCGGUUGUGGCUUCUGGUGUAAAUCAUCAAGUUUCAUCAAGAGAGCUUCAACAUACAUCAUUGAUGAGUUUCUGCUCUCAUUGUUUUGGAUUCGGAAAUAGAUUCAAUGAAAUUAGCAGGGUGAAGGGAGAGUGAUUUGUGGAGUGAUGAAGAGCAAAGAAUGGUUGAAGAAGAUAAUGAUGGAGAGUGGUGGGAGAUUCUGUUAUAUAGAGGUUGAUGAAAGUUGAGAACUUUGAACCCGAGCCAUAGAUUGAAGAAUUAUGUUACAAGUUGAAAGGUGUAUAGUGUGGGGACAAAUGGACACAAGAUUGGAUGUAUUCAGGUGUGAUUGAUCUGGUGACGGUAUAUGGACUGGUUUUUGCAAGGUGAUUCAGUAAGGUUCUUUAACUUGAAGAUGGAGCAAUGAUGAGAAAAGUUUUGGCAUGCAAAGAAGAGGUGGAAACGUGAAGAAAUUGAGUGGCUUCAAUCAGUUGGAAUUCUCUUGUAGCUUAAGGACUUUGACUUUAUGCAACUUGAAUUCAACUUGUUUCAACUUGAGAUAUGUAGCUAGUAGUGUAAUCUUGAAUUUGAAUCUUGUUUCACUUAGGAAUUCUCUUUUGUAAUUCAAGAACUUGAUGUAAUUGAAAUCCAAAGGUUUGUACUAAUUUUGUAUCACUUUUUCUAAAUAUAAAUAGAGAUAGAUAUAGAGAGAGCAAGAA
Molecule: long non-coding RNA, 1196 nt
Organism: Vicia villosa (hairy vetch)
Lineage: Eukaryota; Viridiplantae; Streptophyta; Magnoliopsida; Fabales; Fabaceae
Exons: 5
Source: RefSeq, a predicted model, not a curated record